Long non-coding RNA from Falco peregrinus (peregrine falcon), 4389 nucleotides. RefSeq lists it as uncharacterized. The record is from RefSeq and is a predicted model, not a curated record. The transcript has 3 exons. NCBI's taxonomy places the organism in Eukaryota, Metazoa, Chordata, Aves, Falconiformes, Falconidae.
GACUAAGCAUGCUCAGUGAAAAAGCAUUUCUCCUUUGCCUGUCAAGCCCUAUGUUUGAACUCAUUCCAGGACGCUGGAUUUACUUUUCACAAAGAAACAGUACCUGGCUGGACUGCAUUUUUCCUUCCCUCCUUAGUCACUGGAAGAUUGGAAACAAUAUUCUUUUGAGGAUCAAUGCACUCUCAGUAAUGCAAUGUGCCUGCAUGCAAGUGUGAAUCUUGCAGUGGAGAAGGAAGACAAACUUUGCUACCUGUGAUACGAAGACUUCUUAGGUAGCAGUGGAAAUGAAAACAAUUUUAUUUACAGUAUUGUUCACAGAAACCACAAAUGAGUAACUUGAUGACUUCAGUGGGAAUUGCAUAUAAACAACAAAGGGAAAGGGUCAUCUGGAUUCUUCUGAAGGUAAGUGUCAGGGCCAGGAGUCUCCAUGAAAUACCCAUCCAAGACACAAGCAGAGGAUCUCACCUACUGCCUCUUCUCCAGAGAUUCCAUCCCACGUUGAGGUUUCAGGCAAGUAUCACUUUUUCCCUGGCUGGAGCUUCGCUGGUGAGUCCUUAGAAGUGCUUGCUUCUCACACAUAUAAAUUUUCUCAUUACAGUUUUCUAAUGAAUCAGAAGGCAGGCUCUUGUACCCCCCGUGUGUUCUUUCACACCCUGCCACUGGCCUGUGUGACAUUACACGCUUAUGAAUAUGGCCGGUUUGUAUAGUCCAAAAUGCAAGAACUACCCCUUAGCGAGUCAUGUCAGGAAAAGCUGAACCAUUGGGUUAUUGACCUUUUACUAAUUCCAAAUCCAUAUCCUGUUACCACCUGAGGUGCACAUAGGUAGAGCAGUAUCACUUUAAAUCACUGAUUAGGUAACCCACUGCAUUUACUGGUCUUUUAUGUUUACAAAACACCAGAACCAAGCCAUUGCAAUGAAUUUUGUAUCCAGGUAGGCUUUGCAUGCCAUGGGCGGCAUGUUUCCCAGGGUUUGUCGCUGGUUUCCAUAUGCUGCUUUAUAGAAUUAGGUAUUAUUCAAUAGGAGCAAAGCAAUUUCAGCUUGACAGGCAGAAAAUAGGAUGGUUACAUCCCUGUUAAAAGUGAAAACAUCUGAAAUAAGACAUGGAAGAACACAUUAUCUUCCACUGGGAAAAGCCUGCUUGGAGGGACUCAUUUAGCCAUGGGAAGCUGGGAAGGAAGUGUGGAGUGAAAGACUAGCCAGGCAAUUAUUCUUCUAAUAGGUAAGAUUAUGUUGGUUUUCAGUAAAUCAGUGCAAAUCUGUGGUUAACUAUGUCUGUUGAAAGAUUCUGAAUACAGAGAGUGUAAGGGGACAGACCCUUUCCUGAUGAAAACUGCUGCAGUGUUCAACAUCAAUUGGAGAUCUGCUUCAACUGCAGGAUGUGAGGCAGAUUGAAGUUGUGUAAAACUGUCAGGGACUCUGUCCUGCUUGGUCUGAUCUUCCCUGAGGCUGAGACAGUUUUAUGCUGGCAGCUUUCAUUCUUCAUUAUUCAAAACAGGUGACAUACUUUAACAAAAACAGAACUUUGAAAGCCAUUAGUAUGUUAGCACAACAGAAAACUCGCAUGUUUUCUUGUUCAACAAUAUUGGCAAGAAAGAAAAAAUAUUUUUUUCAUAAUUGUUGUUUUCUUUCUAACUCAGGGCAAUUGCUGUAUUUUGAUGUGCCUCAUGUGCUCAAACAUCAGUCUUAAUUCAGAUUUCAGAACAUCAUUUCAACUUUGCAGGGUUUCAGUUUGCCACAAGAUGAUUUCAGUAGGAAAACUAUGUGUGGUGUAACUUCAGUUUUAUUUAUAUGCUUGAAAUCUACACAACUGCUUUCUCCAACAUGUGUGUGGGAUUUCCACUUUCAUUUAUUUAUGAACCAGUGUAGUCAAGUGUGGAAGUGCUGUGCAUUGUGCUGAAAAUCGUGGACAUUAUUUUAUUUCUUUAUAUUGACUUUGACUAUGAUGAAGAACUUAACCUGGGUCUGAGUUACAGGUUUGAAGAGGACAUACACAGAUUAUGUUUCCACCUGCCACUUAUUUUUCAACAUUUUUUUCCACGCUUUAAGAGGGGACUGAAGUCUAAUGGAAGGCACUUGUCACCUUGUAGGUCCUGGUCUACUUUUUCAGUUGCUACAGAAUGUGCACUCAUUUCUGUAAGUUUGGAGGCCUGUUCAGGCUUUUAUCAAAGCAAAAAUCAAGCUCUGCCAGUUAAUUUUCCUGUCCCUCACAGGUUUUCAUUAUAUUGUCCAGCUUCAUCCUGUAUCACUUGGUGAAAUGAUAAAGGGAUGAGAUUAAGAAGCUUGAUAAUACGUUGUGCAGAGAGAAGGUAUAAUUAGCUGAGAGGACACUGAAUGCAGGAGUGAUCUGGCCCCGGAUACCUAAGAAAUGUGUCAACAUUAGGUUUAAAUGCUGAGAGUGCCAUAAACCAGUUGCAUAGAGUCAUGUUCUUCCUACAGAAUUUACCUCAGAAUUUGGUUCUGGUUGUAUCUCCCUCCAGUCUGCUGAUGAUACCUACCUUGAUAUCCAUCUCUGGUUCAUAUUCCUGCCUGUGUAUAGAAAAUUCUUCCAGUCUUUGCCAAGUCAUCACCUUCUCAACAUGCAAAUCCCUCCUAAACCCUCACUUCUUCAGUAUUGACACCUUGAAAUUAUUUAUUCUUCUAAUGUAUCUGCAUAUUUGUCAAGGCCGUAGAGAGAUUAGCUAGUCUGUGGGCACGUAUCUAAUGAACUGUGUGGUAUUUUCACUGUAACCAUGGUGGUUCUUCCCUCAUUUGUUUAACUUUCUUGUUUUGCUUGUUUUGUUGUGAAAGAAGCUGAUAAACUGCUUGAGUCAGGACAUCAUAUCAAGUGAUUUAAUUUAUUCUUGUUAUAAAUUCUGAAUUCUGUAUAAAUAAUAGGUAAGCUAUAGGUACAAGCUGCAGCUCUGAAAAAUGCCCAGUUGGCAUUAAGAUUCUGCAAGACACAGUGGGCAAUGGGAAUCAAAUAGUGGUGGUGAUUACCAGUGGAGGAUUAUGUCUUGCUGAAAGCAACGAAGUCGAUGAGGGACUGGAUAAAGCCCUGCGUGACUUGGUUUGAUGUCAGAGCUAACCUGCAUUGAGCAGGAGGUUGGACUAGAGACCUCCCAAGGUCCUUUCCAACCUGAAUUAUCCUAUGAUUUGGUGGAUGUAGGUGGCCUGAUGCUGGGGAAUUAUGAACAUCCAAACCCAUUAACUCAGGCCAGUGGAAGGAGCAGGAAAUGUGGCCUGUUAAAGUUUUUACCCAUGAGCACUGAACUUGUAUGUAGUGCCACCUUUUCUACUGGCAGCUUGUUAUUGCUGUGCGCGAUGUUAGGCAAAUCCAUUAGAAGCAGCCUCAUCUCUGGUAUAAGAGAGUAAUUCAGACUAAUACUUACCAACUACUGGGGCAUGCUGAGGUGGGAUCUGGGUAGAGGGUAACUCCCCAGCUGCACCUGCAGAAGUGAGGCAAAAUUGUUGUGGAGGUCUGCCAUUCCUUAGGCUCCAGGUUGAUGGAACAUGGUAGAUGGAUGACCAGCUGAUGCUAUCAUGGGCUCUGUUGUGGGAGGCUGGCUGGGGCAGGGCUGUGGAGAUACCAUAGACUGAGGCCAAGCCAAGAAGGGGUCAGAACAUUGGGUGGAGUAAUAUACCUGUUCAAUCAAAUUUCUUUUUUUCUCCUUGGAGAGUAUUCUCGUAUCUAAAGGUCCUGAAAUCUGCCUUGUGUGCAAAUGUCACACUGCCCCAUCUGCCUAUCUGAGAAAUAUGCAUUUUCUAUUUACAUAUUUUAUAUUUUAUUGUUUGUUUUUUGGAUUUUUUUUUUCUUUUUAGUUACUGCAUGUGUUCCAUCUUUGAAUUAUCAGGCAACAUAUUAAUAUCUGGUAGAAUAAAUAAUCUACCAAACACUGAAUGUCUGAAAGAAUCUCUGUUAAAGAUCUUAUAGGACAAGUUGCAGGUUUGUGGCUCCUACAGGAAGAAACUUGCUUAGCCUUUCUCUUACAUGAUUUUACAUUAUCCAUAUCAUUAUAUCUACUAAAUUCCCAAUACCUGGAGCUGCAGAAGGUGCCUUCUGCCCAUACUUCUCUGGCUGGUGGGACUACUGCUUUUUUCCCACACAAUAUAGGGGCACAGUCCUCACAGUGCCUACAUGUGACAAACCUGUGAUGGGGAAGAAGAAGGGAUCUCACAACAAGACUGCAUCUGUCAGAUUGACUUUUUUUUUCGAGCUGCAGCUGGUAUAAGUCACACCCCUCAGUCUGUCUUUGAUGAUAGGCCUAUGCUUCUUGAGCAAAGUGGAUCUAGCUUUCUGGGAGAAUUCAGCUGUACAAAUCUCAUGUUUCUGACAUAAAGACGGGCUUUGGGAAUAAGUCUAGAUCAUGGAACAUUUCUUCAUUGUAAUAGUUGCCCUUAUAGUUAUAGC